RNAcentral lists this ribosomal RNA (468 nucleotides) under uncultured bacterium. Its description in RNAcentral is "partial 16S ribosomal RNA". It matches the Rfam family "Bacterial small subunit ribosomal RNA", at positions 28 to 507 of the family's 1533-position model. The record is from RNAcentral.
GACGAACGCUGGCGGCGUGCUUAACACAUGCAAGUCGAACGGAAAGGCCCUGCUUUUGUGGGGUGCUCGAGUGGCGAACGGGUGAGUAACACGUGAGUAACCUGCUCUUGACUUUGGGAGAACUUCAGGAAACUGGGGCUAAUACCGUAUAGGAGCUCCUGCUGCAUGGUGGGGGUUGGAAAGUUUAGGCGGGUGGGGAUGGACUCGCGGCUUAUCAGCUUGUUGGUGGGGUAGUGGCUUACCAAGGCUUUGACGGGUAGCCGGCCCGAGAGGGUGACCGGCCACAUUGGGACUGAGAUACGGACCAGACUCCUACGGGAGGCAGCAGUGGGGAAUAUUGCACAAUGGGAGGAAGUCUGAUGAAGAAGCGUCGCGUGCGGGAUGACGGCCUUCGGGUUGUAAACCGCUUCCGCCUGUGACGAAGCGUGAGUGACGGUAAUGGGUAAAGAAGCACCGGCUAACUACGUG